UGGGCAACCUGCCCCUCUCUCUGGGAUAACCCCGGGAAACCGGAGCUAAUACCGGAUACUCCGGCUGGAUAGCAUGGUCCGGCCGGGAAAGGUCCGCCGGAGAGGGAUGGGCCCGCGGCCUAUCAGCUUGUUGGUGGGGUCAUGGCUCACCAAGGCGACGACGGGUAGCUGGUCUGAGAGGACGACCAGCCACACUGGAACUGAGACACGGCCCAGACUCCGUACGGGAGCA
This 232-nucleotide ribosomal RNA is filed under the name uncultured bacterium. RNAcentral describes it as "partial 16S ribosomal RNA". It matches the Rfam family "Bacterial small subunit ribosomal RNA", at positions 118 to 347 of the family's 1533-position model. The record is from RNAcentral.